GCAGGUGAGGUUGCGGCUGUGACCUCCUUCCCGUGGACUCUCUCCUCCGAACAGAACAGAGCUGCCCCGCGUCUUUCAGCCCAGCUCUCCUGUUUUCUCAGCACCCCAGCGGGACAGAGCCUGCCAGAACCAAGUCGACCGUCCCUCCUCAGCAGAGACCAGACCUGCCCCUCGUCUCCCAGCCCUGCGCCUGGUGUGUUUUCUCAAUGCCUCAGUGGAACAAGAAAGGACCGAGCCUGCCAGAACCAAGCUCCCCUCUCAUGCCUUGCCUACCAUGGGUUCAACGAAUGGCAUUCAACGAGCAGAGAUACAGUGAAACUGUUGGCACCGUGAGCAGGAUCAGCAGGACAGGAGAGGCUUCCAGUGUGGCCACCUCCUGCUGGAAGCCUGGGAUGCUGGAAUCAGGCCACUUGCUGUCUGUCUCUACAUGACACUGGGCUGCACUCUUAAGAAGUUCCUGGAUCUCCCCAGGAUUCUGACCAUCAUGUGACCACAGAAAUUGUCGACUCUGUCUUCCAAAGAGAACAGAACUGCCCCUCGUCUUUCAGCCUGGCUCUCUUGUAAACACAUCCUCCGUGGGACAAGAAAGACAGAGCCUGCCAGAGCCGAGUUGACGUCCCUCCUCAGCAGAGACCAGACCUCCCCCUCAUCUCCCAGCCCUGCGUCUGGAGUGUUUUCUCAACACCUCAGUGGGACAAGAAAGGACCGAGCCUGCCAGAACCAAGGAUUUGGACGAGGAUGACCUGCCCCUCCCCCAUACUGGAUGACGACGCCCCCACCGGCCCAGUGCUCCACCAGGACCGGAGGCCGCCUUAAUGCCCGAUCCAGGGCCAGGUGAAGUUCCUGCAGCAGCCGCAGCUCCUCUGCCAGCUCUCCCAGAGGUCGUGGAGCCGCCACCUCCGCAGGCUCCAAUCCCGGUGGCAGAAGCCUCUGGCCAACACUUCCAGGAUCCGGCUCAGCCGAACCACCCAAGCUAUACCCGCCUCUCCCGUGAGUACUGACGGGAAGGGGAAAGGAGACACCGGAAUCAAACCGAGGCUGCUGGGUCUCAGAUGGUGAUUAAAUGCAGCCUUUGUGCCUCAAGCCUACCCCAAAAAUGUCAGAUGGGGGGGUACCAAGUGAUUCAUGAAUUUUUAUACAUCCCUGAAUGCCCAGUACCUUUGUUGGGAAGAGACUUGCUGUGUAAAUUGGGGGCAGAAGUGACCUUUCCCCCCAACAAAAGAGCUACUCUUCAAGUGGGCUCAACCACCUAUUUACUCUUUCUCUCGGUUGCACAAUCUCCCGGAAGGGAAACCAGAUGGGCUGAACGGUGUAGACAGAGAGUUAACAUAUUCUCUGAGGUCUGGGCAGAAGACAACCCAACUCCCCGCAGGCUUGCAAAACAAGUCCCAGUAGUAACAGAACUCAAACCUGGUACAAUUACGUCAGCACCCACUUUGGGCCUGCCAGACCUUGCUAAGCCGUUUCCUCUUUACGUGACUGAAAAGGACCAGGUGGCUAUGGGAAUGUUGUCCUAGACUAUGGGGAUGUGGGACAGACCCAUGGCUUAUCUCCCAAAAUGGCUGGACAAUGUUGCCACUGGGUGGCCAGGAUGCUUACAUGCAAUUGCUGUGGUUGACUUACUGGUCUGGGAGGCAAUCAAGCUGAAUUUGGGCCAAGAUUUUAUCCUAAAAGUCCCGCAUUAGGUCAACACUCUCCUGCGAGGGGACCCACACAAAUGGCUGUUGACAUCAGUCAUACACUGCCGAGGACAUCAAAAAGAGGAUACCCCCAGGCUCAGAGAAACAGACUGGCAGAUAAGACCACUAAACAAGCAGCCGAGGGCUUGGGGGUGACAAGUGAGUCCCCUAUUAAAGUUCUUGUAUUGGCAGAGCUGCCUGAGCUAACGCUGGGGUCUCCAAAAUACAGCGAAGCCUAAAACUAGCCAAAGCAGAAGGGGCCAUCAAGACUGAAAAGGGAUGGUGGGAAUUGCCAAGUGGCAAAUUAUUGGUACCGGAGGCGCUGGCACCCACUCUGGUAAGCAAAACACACCAAGCGACCCACCUAGGCUAUGAUAAACUGGAAGAGCUCAUUCGAAAAUAUUUCUUGGUUCCCCACCUCUCUUCCCUAUGUGGGAAAGAAUCUCAGAGCUGCACUGCCUGCUCCCAGGUCAGUGAUGCCUCUCGGCACAGACAGAAGCCUCCGGGGAUUCAGCCGAAAGGCACGCUGCCCUUUGAACACCUGGAAGUGGACUUGACUGAAAUGAAACCUCACCAACACUACUGUUACCUGCUGGUCAUGGUAUGUACGUUCUUGGGAUGGGUAGAAGCUUUUCCUACCUAGACUGAAAGAGCAUCAGAAGUAGCCCCGUGCCUGCUUAGGGAAAUAGUUCCCGGAUUUGGAUUUCCUACCAGAAUUGGAUCAGACAAUGGCCUGGAUUUCGUAGUUGAUUUAGUACAAGCAAGCAAAACUUUUAACAUCAAAUGGAAACUGCACACUGCAUAUAGGCCCAGAAUUCUGAGAUGGUGGAACGGACCAACCAGACACUUAAAGAGACUCUCCAAGUGGAUCAUAGAGACUGACUGCUCCUGGGUGGACUUGCUUCCGAUGGCUCUGCUCAGACUCAGGAUGACCCCGCGGUCCCAAGGCGAUUCUCCAUACGAAAUUGUGUAUGGGAGGCCCCCUCCCAUAAUAGAGGUGUCAACAAAUUUGCCUCAGGUAAGGGGGGAUAGGAUUUCGCAACAGAUGGAACUGGGUAAGGUAAUAAAUCAGGUAACUAAGUUUGUACAAGAAAGGGUGUCGUUUCCCCUUGGGGAACAGAUUCAUGAGUUGACGCCUUGUGGCCAAGUAUGGGUCAAAGAUUGGAAACAUGAUUCACUAGCCCCUCGGUGGAAGUGCCUAUACUGUUACUCUAACUACCCCUACUGCAGUUAAAGUUGCAGGUAUUGCCCCUUGGAGCCAUCAUACGAGGGUGAAGAAAGCUUACCACGCAGACCCAGAAAACACUGAGUGGACUGCACAGACGGACCCCACUGACCAUCGAGAGACCAAGAUCAUCCUUAAGAAGAAGAAGGAAAAGAAGAUCCCGGACGAGCCCCUUGAGGAUGAAGCCACAUAAUCAACUCCUGCUGCUUGGUCUCAUCAACGUGCACAUUCCUACGUGGACUUCCACAAUACUUCCAACUGUUGGGUGUGUGGGGCUAUGCCUUUGUCUGUGAUGGAUGGAGUUCCCUGGUGGGUGUCACCACUCUGCCAAGGAAAUUUUAAACCAUUCUGCUUUUUCUGGGACAAAAAAAAGAGACUUUCCUUUCUCUUGUCAAUCAUAAUUUCUCCCUGCUCUCUUGAUGUAAGCCAGACCUACAGUCAAUAGACUCAGGUCAUGGGGUUACAUAUUAUGUAAACACCAGUUUCAUAAAAGUAACAGAAGCAGUAAUUC
Molecule: long non-coding RNA, 3415 nt
Organism: Bubalus bubalis (water buffalo)
Lineage: Eukaryota; Metazoa; Chordata; Mammalia; Artiodactyla; Bovidae
Exons: 7
Source: RefSeq, a predicted model, not a curated record